CGUGUAGGCGGGGGGGGGGGGGGGGUCGGCCAAGUCUGAUGUGAAAGCCCGAGGCUCAGCCUCGGAAGUGCGUCGGAAACUAGUCGGCUGGAGCGCGAUAGAGGAGGGUGGAAUUCCUGGUGUAGCGGUGAAAUGCGUAGAUAUCAGGAGGAACACCGGCGGCGAAGGCGGCCCUCUGGAUCGUUGCUGACGCUGAGACGCGAAAGCGUGGGGAGCAAACAGGAUUAGAUACCCUGGUAGUCCACGCUGUAAACGAUGGGUACUAGGUGUUCGGGGUAUUGACCCCCUGAGUGCCGCAGCUAACGCAUUAAGUACCCCGCCUGGGGACUACGGCCGCAAGGUUAAA
This 346-nucleotide ribosomal RNA is filed under the name uncultured bacterium. RNAcentral's name for it is "partial 16S ribosomal RNA". It matches the Rfam family "Bacterial small subunit ribosomal RNA", at positions 547 to 898 of the family's 1533-position model. The record is from RNAcentral.